CUCAUCUUCUGAAGCCUUCAGUUAGACGCCAGUUCUUCCUAGACUGCAAUGAAAUAGCUGAUAUUUGCGAUAAUGCAGAGCGUAUCUUCUCAAGCGAACCAACUGUAUUACAGCUUAGAGCUCCUAUCAAAAUAUUUGGGGAUCUUAUGCGCCUUUUUGAUGAAUACGGUUAACAUUCCACAGCUGGAGACAUUUCAUACAUCGAUUACCUUUUCUUAGGGGACUAUGUUGAUAGGGGUCAACACAGUCUAGAAACAAUCUCCCUUCUCCUUGCAUUAAAGGUUGAGUACCAGCAUAAUGUACACCUGAUUCGAGGAAACCAUGAAGCUGCGGAUAUUAACGCUCUUUUUGGCUUCCGAGUAGAGUGUAUUGAGAGAAUGGUACUUGUUUCUAUGCCAUGUUUUGCUGUUCUCAUGAUGUUGUUGUUUGGCAGGUUUAACGCGAUGGAAUCUAGGUGUGGCGUAGAAUAAACCGUUUGUUUAAUUGGCUAUCUCUGGCUGCAUUGGUAGAGAAGAAAAUUAUAUGUAUGCAUGGGGGUAAUGGUCGUUCUAUAUAUCAUGUGGAGAAGAUUGAGAAUAUACAACGUCCAAUUACAAUGGACGCUGGCUCUAUUAUGCUCAUGGAUUUGUUAUGGAGCUGAACGCAAAUAGGCCAGCGACACCAACCAGAGGACGCCCACUACAAACGACAAAGGAGGUUCUCUGGCUUCGAUGUAAGGUUGAAGAAGAGGCACUCGUGCACAUCUGUCUCCUGGUGUUUCACCUCAUGUUUGUGUACAGAAAAGAUGAGGUCUGGAGAUAUCAGCGGCGGUGUAAAUUGAGAUGACAGAAAGGGUAGAAAAGUCAGUUUUGGUGGUGAUUUGGUAGUAGUGAUCUGUAGAGUUUAUUCUUUUGAGCUUUUUAGUCUCUUUCAAUUUUUACUCAAUCUGUUUUAUGUAUCUUUUUAUUUAUCUAGACAUUGGGGGCUUUUGUGUAUUUUUAUUGUUUUAUUAACGUUUGUGUUGAUAUUAUCAUGUUCAUGAGCGUUUUAUAAAUGAUGGACAUGGUACGAGAUUUCAUAAGGUUAUAGAGCUUGGACAUUGUAGGCAGCAAAUCGGAAUGGAUAAUAGAAAAAAUUAUCUCUCUUGAUUAUCCAUCUUUACCUAAAUAUCCACUAAAAUAGUAAUAUUAAAAAUUAUAUAAAAAUUGCAAAAAUUUACAUACAAAAUGUAAUGUAGAGGAUCAUUUUCCAUGACUUAAUUUCUCUUAAUUUAAAUGAAAUAAAAAUAUUUAUGGCAAAAACGUUGCGAAAUUGAAAUAGAAAUAAUUAAAUACAAAAGGGAUGCUUUUGUACUUGGGGUGAUGAGUUCCGUACGUUGGUGCCAACUUGGCACGGGCAAGGACUGAGUGUAACUUGCACCAUCCGCUAUCUACUUCCGCGUUCUAACCAUAAUCUCUUUCCCUUUUCAGUUUAAUAUAAUUUGUAAAGAUGUUGAUACAUAAAUCUCAUAAUCUUUAUGUCGCUUUUAGUUGAGAAAAAAAGAAAAUACUGAUGGAUAUGGUCAUUAUACGGAAAUGAAAAAGUUAGACAAGUAGUCAAAUAAGCUAAGUUAGGUCUAAAAUUGGUGUAGUAAUAUAAAUACGUGGGACUUCAUUCGUCAAGUACCAUAUGUGAUUGAGCAAAUGGACUUCCCUGGCUUCCAAAGAUAGAAAACGAUUGGAUAUAUAUGACAAAUUGAUUAUCUUUUUAUUGGAGCUUUUCAUGAAUUGUGAUUAGUCAUGUCAAUAGCAUAACCUAAUAGAAUGUUUGUUUCAUUAUACUUUGUCUCCCCACAAAUGUCAAUAAUUGGAAAUAAGAUUAUGUUUGAUUUGAUAACACAUUUGGAAUUUAUCAGUUUCACACUGCUUUCGAAAAAAUUGUAUAUAUAAACAAAAUAUAAUUUUAUAAAUGGGCAGGAUUUACAACUUUAGUUUAUGUAAGUAACUAAUUCAUAUGAACUUUAAACGUGAAAGUUAAAUUUAGUCUAAGUUUUACUUCUAAGUUCAAACUAUUUAUAACCAAUUUGAGAAAAAAAAUCUUAUAUAUCAUUUACUUUUUAUAAUAAAUUCUAAUCACUAGAGAAUUGACAGAUUUUUGGGAAGUUACUUUUUCAAGUUCUGAAGAAGUUUUUAUUUGUGUUAAAUGAAGAUAAAAAAAUACAAGGGUUACAUAUAUAGAGAUAUAUGUUAUGAAUAUUAUGGUGAUGCCAUUAUGGCAAGUCUUAAAUAUAUUUGUUCUCCAAGCUUUACUUGUUCUCCAAGUGGCUUUGUCCACAAGCUAUUGUAAUCCUAUAUAAAGGACUCAUUACUCAUGGAAUAAUAUACACCAAUUCCUCUCUUCUCUUGUCUUCUCUUCUUUAUUCAAAACACGUUAUCAGCACGAAACUCUAGCAAGCUAAUAGGUAUAGAUUUUAUUUUACAGUUUUAGUUUAUUUCUAUUCCUUCUUCAAACCAUGUUUAUUAUCAAUUCAUGGUUUGUAAAAAUGGAUUCAUACAGAGUAUGAGCUUAGGAGCUUUAGUCGACAAUAUUGAUCUACCCUUGUUUCAAGGAAAGAAAAUCGUUUGAUUUAAAAGAGAUCUUGUCGAUGUUUAUAAGCUAAUGCUCAAUAUGAUUAUAGCCUACACUCGCACGUAUUUUAUUUAUGUAUUAUCAUAUGUGAUGCUUAUAUUAUGUUAUGUCAUCACGCUAGCAUAUAUGUUUAUAUUGUUCAUAUUGCUUUCACUCGUUAGAAUACAUCUGUCACAUCUUUUAUAGGCAUGUACACGGCUUCAUAUAAUUAUUACAGUUGCAUAUAGGAUUAUGACUUUCAUAAAUUAAUUAAGCUGUGAAACUGUCUUGCCCUUAAUUCUAUUGGUAGCAUUCGUUCUUGUGUAUAAAUUAAUAUUCCAUAGUUUUAACUUUACGGCUGCGUACCAUACUUUUAUUAAUAUUUUAUGGCUGCAUCCCAUGUUUUUCUAAAAUAUGUCACACAUCUGAUUUUACUUUAGCAUAUCUGGCUUGAAUCGAUUAACACGACACACGAAUAUAUUUUGAACAUUAACACAUGUAGAUUGUUAACGAAUUAUUAGGAAGACGUGUAGGUUGUUAGUCUCAUGGAAUCUUAAAUCAAUAUUUCUUUAUAUGAUGUGUGAGAAACGUUAAUGCAUUGAUCAUAGAAUAUUGAUAUUGCCUUAUAAGUUGUUUAUAUUAAUCUAUAUGCAUAUUGUUAUUUACGGAUGCAUAUAAUUUAAUGUAAAAGCAUAGUAAUUGAUGUUCCUAAAGCAUAUAAUUUACGGCUGCAUAUAGACUUAGUUUUACAGCUGUGCAUUGUUCAAUGCUUAAAGAUUAUAUGGUUGACCUUCGAAAAUUUUGAUAAGAAUGAUUAGUAAUUCAAUUGUUCGUUGGUUUAUAUUAUGACUUUUGAGAAACAUUUAUGCAUUGAACAUAAAAUAUUGAUAUUGCCUUAUACAUUUUGUACGCAAAUAUAUGAAUAUAUAGCUUAUUUACUUUUUAAAAGAUCUAUACGUUUUGGAAAACAAUCCAAAGAAAGGUAUAAUCCCAAAAGUGAUUACCUAAUUGUGUAUCUUGCAACUAAAGAUUACCAGACCUGAAGUCUGUAAAUAAAUCUCAACUAUGUUGGAUGUUGAGUUUAAAAGUAAAAUUUCUCGAAGAAGUUUUUAAUGAUGCAUAUAUUAUAUAAGUAAUGUUGUCCAGCAGACAAACGAUUGAGAAAAAAAAGGGAGGUUUAUAACUAUAUUUUAUUUCUUUGAGACUGAGAAAAAUAAUGAGCUUUUAAAAUUAGAUGUUAAAUCAUGUCUAGUUGAUUAUAAUCAUUCUCCUGAAGAGAAUAUGACAUUUUAUAUUGAGAAAGAAAAUCAACACAAAUAGUAUUGUUCAAGAAAAUGAACAUAAAAGUGGUUGUAGACGUGAAUGUGGAUAUAAAUAAGGUCAAGAUCCAAAGAGUUUUUUUUUUUUAGAACUCAUACUCUCACUUGAAGUUGAGAAAUAAAGAUGGUAAUAAAUAAAUACCCAAGAGUUUCUAUUUAAAACUCAUUCUCUCACUUGAAGUUGAAGUUGAGAAAAUAAAGAUGAUAAGAGAUAUGAUUCAAUCACCCAAAUAUGAGAGAAAAUUAUUGUGAGUACAAUACAUGGUAGUAAAACCUUAUAGAAUGUUCAGGAAGAAGAUAUAUAUGAUGCUCCAGAAGAGUACAUAAUAUUACUGCACAUAAGAAUGCAAUUUAAAAUCCUUAUUGCGUCAUAUUCUUAUAAGUCUAAGAAGUUAAAAGGAUUUGAGAAAGAAUACAUGACCCAUCUAGGGUAUGUUGUUGAUUCAAAAUGAGACUCAUUCGAGAUUGAUAAACAUGUAGUUUUAUCAUCUCGAGGAGAAGAGUUAAUGAAUCUCACAUUUAAUGAUAAGUCAAACAUCCAAAAGAUUAUGUUUGCACUAAACUAAGAUUGAUGAAUCAUUCUCAAAGGGAAUCUGUGGGAUUUUGACACUUAUGUUGAGACAGUAAGCAAAAGAAAUGCUAUAUAUAUUUCAAUUCAGAAAUAUUUCUCAAGACAGUAUAAGUAUUUUAGAGAAAGUAUAUACAGCCUCUUAUAGAUUAUACUACACAAAGAUUUAGUGUAAUGGAGAUAAAUACAGAGUAUACCAGAAGUUUAUAAAAUACUUGGCAUGAAUCAGUUAGACCAUUUUGGUUCAGUAGUGAUGUGAAAAGAUACAUAAAGAUUUAUGAAUAUUCAUUGAAGAACCAGAAGAUUCUUAUGAAUGAUUUCACAUAUAUUUCUUUCUCAUAAGAUAAAAUGAAAAUACGGUUUUCACCAGCCAAAUAAAAUUAUUGGCAUAAUGGAGAUGUUGGUGGACUGAUCACCCACUAUGCAUCUUUAUGAUAUUGGUGAAUUCACGUCUUAAAGUCUUUGACGACUAUAGAAAAAUCACUAGGAUAAGUGAUAAACAUUUUGAGCAACACUAAUUCGCAUCAAGCCAACAAGUAAUUAAUGGUUCUCCCCGUCAUUGGUAGUGGGUCAGAAACCAACCAUUUUCAAUCUAAGAAUGUUGGAUGUGUGAUAUACAUUCCAAUUGCUCCACCACAGAGCUUUAAGUAAGAUGUGUUUUCAAAUGAAGUUGGAAUACAUGUUGGAUAUGAAUCUCCAUUGAUUCUUAAGAAUCUAGAGCCAUCCCCGAAGGAUAUAAGUAAGACUCGAUUUGAAUGCCAAAGUUGAAUUAGUAUUUCCAACAUAAGAGGGAGAAAAUAAACAGCUCGAAAAGAAUAUAAGUUCGAAUGAAUUAUCAUUGAUCCUCAGACUAAAGAUAAGUCCAAAAGAUAAUUCAAUUAUAUAGCUUAGUAAAUCAGUUGUCAGACACAUUUACUGACCCAAAUAAAUAUAGUGAUCAAAUCACAUAUACCAGCUGUAAAUGCUCCAAAUAAGAAUUGAUGUUCCAGAAGAACAAUAUCAAACUGCCAGUUACACCUGAAGCGUAGUAAACAUAUUGGUUCCAAAGAUUAAAAAAAAAAAAAAAAAAAUCCUCGUAAAUGAAAGGAGCAUAAAGUAAUGGUCAAGAGGAAUAAGAGUUUGUGAAUGAUCUCCAGAAGAGACAUUAAACAUGACUGAAAGAAUUCAGGUACCUGAGACAAUGAAAAGAUCUCAAUAAGUGAUGUCAUGUAUGAAAUAAAAUGGAACUGAUAAGCAAAUCGACGUCAAUGAUAUUUAUGCCAAAAAAAUGGCAGUUGAUAUGAUGAAUGAGAAAGAGGAUCAUGAAAGAAAGUCUAUUGAAAAGUGUACACAAAUAAAUGAUUGGCCAAGUCAGAAAGAAACAAUAGACAAAAUACAAACUCUUGUGAAAGAGACAAGUAUUUGGACCAGUAGUCCAUACACUAGAAAGUGUAAAACAAGUGGGAAAUGAUUUGUUGCUCAUUGAAAGAUCAAUAUGGAAUUGAUUGUGAAGAGACAUAGUCUCAUGUGGUAGAUGCAACUACUUUCAAGUUUCUUAUUAUUCUGAAAAUAAAUGAAGAAUUUGAAUUAUACGACCCACUGGAAACUGGUAAUCCCUAAGAGAUAAAAUCCCUAAAAUAUAUAAUCCCUGAAGGAUUGUUUAUAUCAAAGUCAUGUUCCCGGGAACUCUAGCUAUUCGAUCGAAAUAUGUUUUAUGGGAUAUAUGAAAUAUUUGAAGUAAAUCAAUACAUCUUUAUAUUUGUCAAGUGAUUAUAGAUCAAUAGAAUCAUUGAUUUGAAUAUCAAUAAAACUCCUGAAGAGUUAUAGAAAAUUGUAUUUUGGAAGAAAGCUCUUGACAAGACAAAUAUUGUCUUUAUGUAUUCCAAAUUGGAGAUCUAAAAUUAGAUGUUAUCAUAAAGAUCCGUGAAGGAUUUUAUUUAAGAUGCUCAUAUAUGUUUGGUCUUGAAGUACCAUAUUUAAAGUGUUAUUGAGCAAAUUACUAAUCUUUUUCAUAACCAAAAGAUGUAAUUUCAUAUGACAAGAAAGAAAGUCAUAAUAGUUACGAAUGAGUUAUUCGUAUGUACGAAACGAAUGUCUAGACGAUUGUAUGUAAGAAGUUUGGUUUGAAGUCCAAAUAGACUAAGAAAAUAUUGUCUAUAUCAAAUAAGAAUUGUGGACCAGAAAUCUAUAGACCUUGAAUACUCUAAUGGAAAGAGUAUUACAAUAUUCUCAAUUUCAAAAGGAGAUUUCUCUUAUUGGAAUGCAUAUCCUGAAGAUAUUGCUUUCCGGAGAAGAAAUGUGAAAUAUGUGUGGUUGUACUCUUUUCCCUCAUCAUGGUUUUUAUCCCACUGGGUUUUUCCAUGACAAGGUUUUAACGAGGCAACAAAGAACACAUAAAAGAUAGACACCCAAAGAGAAUGUUACAAUUUGGGAGAUGAAAAUCUAUCAUUGUUCUAUAGUUUUGGAGAUAAAAAGAAUCCAAGAAAUGAUCAGAUCAUGAAGACUCAUGCACUACUGAAGAAUGGCGAAGUUCGUUUCCUACAAGUUCGUUCGAGUAAAUAUUUGGCUGUUUCAUUCACCAAGACGCUACCCCUGCUACUUUCAAGAAGCUCACUCAUCUUAUUGAACUACGUUGUCUCAAAGAUCUCGACGUAUGUACACAUGAGGGGAAGUCAUUGCACGCUGCAGUCUUUUUCCUUUAACCAUGGUUUUUUCCUAUUGGGUUUUUCUGGUGAGGUUUUUAACGAGGCAGCAUCUUACGCGCAUAAUAGACAUCAAGGGGAAGUGUUAUGAAUAUUAUGGUGAUGCCAUUAUGGCAAGUCUUAAAUAUAUUUGUUCUCCAAGC
This is a long non-coding RNA of Brassica rapa (field mustard), 7276 nucleotides long. RefSeq lists it as uncharacterized. NCBI's taxonomy places the organism in Eukaryota, Viridiplantae, Streptophyta, Magnoliopsida, Brassicales, Brassicaceae. The record is from RefSeq and is a predicted model, not a curated record.